GUGCAGCAGUCGCGAAUUUUCUCAAUGGGGCAACCCUGAAGGAGCGACGCCGCGUGGAGGAUGAAGGCUUUCGGGUUGUAAACUCCUGUCAUUUGAGAACAAGCGUGAGCAAGUAACUACUGCUCAUUUGAUAGUAUCAGAAGAGGAAGGGACGGCUAACUCUGUGCCAGCAGCCGCGGUAAUACAGAGGUCCCAAGCGUUGUUCGGAUUCAUUGGGCGUAAAGGGUGCGUAGGUGGCGCCGUAAGUGGGGUGUGAAUUUCGGAGCUUAACUCCGAACUGCAUUCCAUACUGCGGUGCUUGAGGACUGGAGAGGAGACUGGAAUUCAUGGUGUAGCAGUGAAAUGCGUAGAGAUCAUGAGGAAGACCAGUGGCGAAGGCGGGUCUCUGGACAGUUCCUGACACUGAGGCACGAAGGCUAGGGGAGCAAACGGGAUUAGAUACCCCUGUAGU
Molecule: ribosomal RNA, 451 nt
Filed under: uncultured organism
Description: bacterial SSU rRNA
Rfam family: Bacterial small subunit ribosomal RNA
Source: RNAcentral